UACAGAGGUCUCAAGCGUUGUUCGGAUUCAUUGGGCGUAAAGGGUGUGUAGGUGGCGCGCUAAGUCGGGUGUGAAAUCUUGGAGCUUAACUCCGAAACUGCAUUCGAUACUGCGGUGCUUGAGGACUGGAGAGGAGACUGGAAUUCAUGGUGUAGCAGUGAAAUGCGUAGAGAUCAUGAGGAAGACCAGUGGCGAAGGCGGGUCUCUGGACAGUUCCUGACACUGAGACACGAAGGCCAGGGGAGCAAACGGG
RNAcentral lists this ribosomal RNA (253 nucleotides) under uncultured bacterium. Its description in RNAcentral is "partial 16S ribosomal RNA". It matches the Rfam family "Bacterial small subunit ribosomal RNA", at positions 524 to 776 of the family's 1533-position model. The record is from RNAcentral.